ACCACGGGCUAACUAGACUUGUGUAUAAAUGCCUUUGGAAAGUAUUCAGCCCUCAUGAUUUUGGGGCGGCAGGUGCCUAGUGGUUAGUGUGUAGAGGAGGCAGGUAGCCUAGUGGUUAGAGCGCGGAGGAGGCAGGUAGCCUAGUGGUUAGAGCGUAGAGGAGGCAGGUAGCCGAAAGGUUGCUAGAUUGAAUCCCCAAGCUGACAAGGUAAAAAUCUGUCGUUCUGCCACUGAACAAGGCCGUCAUUGUAAAUAAGAAUUUGUUCUUUAACUGACUUGCCUAGUUAAAUAAAGGUUAAAUAAUAA
Molecule: long non-coding RNA, 306 nt
Organism: Oncorhynchus tshawytscha (Chinook salmon)
Lineage: Eukaryota; Metazoa; Chordata; Actinopteri; Salmoniformes; Salmonidae
Source: Ensembl